CCUACGGGUGGCUGCAGUGGGGAAUUUUCCGCAAUGGGCGAAAGCCUGACGGAGCAAUACCGCGUGAGGGAGGAAGGCUCUUGGGUUGUAAACCUCUUUUCUCAAGGAAGAAAAAAAUGACGGUACUUGAGGAAUCAGCAUCGGCUAACUCCGUGCCAGCAGCCGCGGUAAUACGGAGGAUGCAAGCGUUAUCCGGAAUGAUUGGGCGUAAAGCGUCCGCAGGUGGCACUUCAAGUCGAUUGUUAAAGGUCUUGGCUUAACCAAGAACAGGCAGU
This 275-nucleotide ribosomal RNA is filed under the name uncultured bacterium. Its description in RNAcentral is "partial 16S ribosomal RNA". It matches the Rfam family "Bacterial small subunit ribosomal RNA", at positions 338 to 627 of the family's 1533-position model. The record is from RNAcentral.